UGUAAACAUCCUUGACUGGAAGCUGGUGUUAAGUUUUUGGGCUUUCAGUCGGAUGUUUGCA
This is a non-coding RNA of Xiphophorus maculatus (southern platyfish), 61 nucleotides long. The record is from Rfam. Lineage: Eukaryota; Metazoa; Chordata; Actinopteri; Cyprinodontiformes; Poeciliidae.